Molecule: transfer RNA, 73 nt
Filed under: Bos taurus (domestic cattle)
Lineage: Eukaryota; Metazoa; Chordata; Mammalia; Artiodactyla; Bovidae
Also listed under: 4 other names
Rfam family: tRNA
About the family: Transfer RNA (tRNA) molecules are approximately 80 nucleotides in length. Their secondary structure includes four short double-helical elements and three loops (D, anti-codon, and T loops).
Source: Rfam by way of RNAcentral
UCCCUGGUGGUCCAGUGGCUAGAAUUCUGCACUUUCACUGCAGAAGUCCCAGGUUAGAUCCCUAGUUGGGGAA